GGAUGCGAUCAUACCAGCACUAAAGCACCGGAUCCCAUCAGAACUCCGAAGUUAAGCGUUCUUGGGCGAGAGAAGUACUAGGACUGUCUCUUAUACACAUCUA
RNAcentral lists this ribosomal RNA (103 nucleotides) under Dichanthelium oligosanthes. Lineage: Eukaryota; Viridiplantae; Streptophyta; Magnoliopsida; Poales; Poaceae. The record is from RNAcentral.